RNAcentral lists this long non-coding RNA (257 nucleotides) under Capsella grandiflora. Its description in RNAcentral is "long non-coding RNA (CGRA_LNC001379)". Lineage: Eukaryota; Viridiplantae; Streptophyta; Magnoliopsida; Brassicales; Brassicaceae. The record is from RNAcentral.
GACCAACAUUAUAGGUAGCAUGCUAAUUGGGGUAUCUUAGAAUUAAUUAGUAUUAAAUUUGAAAAAGUUGAGUUUAAGAGUUUUUAGUUGUGAGAUGUGUUUAUUGGUAGGAUCUUAAGUUGGGUAUCUUAGAAAAAAAAAAUAUAAUUUGUAAUUUAAGAAAAUUUUAUAAUUAUUACAAAUUUAGAAUUUGAAAACAUACAUAAGAGAGAAAUUAUAUGAUAGAAAUUAUAACAUAAAGUACAAUAACUUUAAAC